AAGAGGCGUUUCGAACUUGUAAAUGUUUUCCUAGUUUUCUAGUUCUUUUUCAUCAGAUAUCGUUUCUUAUAUUUGCGAUUUCUGGGCUGAUUGGGUACAAGUUGGGAGGAGGUGAUGACGAAUGAAA
Non-coding RNA from Caenorhabditis elegans, 127 nucleotides. The record is from Ensembl. NCBI's taxonomy places the organism in Eukaryota, Metazoa, Nematoda, Chromadorea, Rhabditida, Rhabditidae.